This 301-nucleotide ribosomal RNA is filed under the name uncultured bacterium. Its description in RNAcentral is "partial 16S ribosomal RNA". It matches the Rfam family "Bacterial small subunit ribosomal RNA", at positions 509 to 807 of the family's 1533-position model. The record is from RNAcentral.
CAGUAGCCGCGGGAAUACAGAGGGUGCAAGCGUUAAUCGGAAUUACUGGGCGUAAAGCGAGCGUAGGUGGUUUGUUAAGUUGGAUGUGAAAGCCCCGGGCUCAACCUGGGAACUGCAUCCAAAACUGGCAAGCUAGAGUACGGUAGAGGGUGGUGGAAUUUCCUGUGUAGCGGUGAAAUGCGUAGAUAUAGGAAGGAACACCAGUGGCGAAGGCGACCACCUGGACUGAUACUGACACUGAGGUGCGAAAGCGUGGGGAGCAAACAGGAUUAGAUACCCCCGUAGUCCCUGUCUCUUAUAC